This 77-nucleotide transfer RNA is filed under the name Azotobacter chroococcum. RNAcentral describes it as "tRNA-Met". It matches the Rfam family "tRNA". Rfam says of the family: Transfer RNA (tRNA) molecules are approximately 80 nucleotides in length. The record is from RNAcentral. Lineage: Bacteria; Pseudomonadati; Pseudomonadota; Gammaproteobacteria; Pseudomonadales; Pseudomonadaceae.
GGGCCUGUAGCUCAGUCGGUUAGAGCAGAGGACUCAUAAUCCUUUGGUCCACGGUUCGAGUCCGUGUGGGCCCACCA